AGAGUUUGAUCUUGGCUCACAUUUUUACGCUGGCGGAAUGCUUUACACAUGCAAGUCGAACGAUGAACCCUAGCUUGCUAGGGGGAUUGGUGGCGAAUGGGUGAGGAGUAUAUCGGAACGUGGCUUGUAAUGGGGGAUAACUAGUCGAAAGAUUAGCUAAUACCGCAUACGCCCUGUGGGGGAGAGUAGGGGAUCUUCGGACCUUAGGUUAGAAGAGCGGGCGAGAUCUGAUUACCUAGUAGGUGGGGUAAUGGCCUACCAAGGCAUCGAUCAGUAGCUGGUCUGAGAGGACGACCAGCCACACUGGAACUGAGACACGGUCCUCACUCCUACGGGAGGCAGCAGUGGGGAAUUUUGGACAAUGGGCGAAAGCCUGAUCCAGCCAUUCCGCGUGAGUGAAGAAGGCCUUCGGGUUGUAAAGCUCUUUCGCAAGGGAAGAAAACUUACACAAUAACACUGUGUGAGGAUGACGGUACCUUGAUAAGAAGCACCGGCUAACUACGUGCCAGCAGCCGCGGUAAUACGUAGGGUGCGAGCGUUAAUCGGAAUUACUGGGCGUAAAGCGUGCGCAGGCGGUUUGGCAAGUCAGAUGUGAAAUCCCCGAGCUCAACUUGGGAACUGCGUUUGAAACUGCCAGACUAGAAUAUGUCAAGGGGGGUAGAAUUCCCGUGUAGCAGUGAAAUGCGUACAGAUGUGGAGAAUACCAAUGGCGAAGGCAGCCCCCUGGGAUAAUAUUGACGCCUCAUGCUACGAAAGGCGUGCGGAGUAAACAGGAAUAGUUACCCUGGUAAGUCCACGCCCUAAACGAUGUCUACUAGUGAUGGUGGAGUAAAAUCCUUGGAGUAAUCGCAGCUUAACGGCGUGAAGAUGACCGGCCUGGGGGAGUACGAGCCGCAAGAUUUAAACUCAAAUGAAUUGACGG
Molecule: ribosomal RNA, 922 nt
Filed under: uncultured bacterium
Lineage: Bacteria
Description: bacterial SSU rRNA
Rfam family: Bacterial small subunit ribosomal RNA
Source: RNAcentral